Molecule: ribosomal RNA, 303 nt
Filed under: uncultured bacterium
Lineage: Bacteria
Description: partial 16S ribosomal RNA
Rfam family: Bacterial small subunit ribosomal RNA
Source: RNAcentral
AGCAGUCGCCGCGGUAAUACGGAGGGAGCUAGCGUUGUUCGGAAUUACUGGGCGUAAAGCGCGCGUAGGCGGUUAUUUAAGUCAGGGGUGAAAGCCCGGUGCUCAACACCGGAACAGCCCUUGAGACUGGAUAAUUUGAAUCCAGGAGAGGUGAGUGGAAUUCCGAGUGUAGAGGUGAAAUUCGUAGAUAUUCGGAAGAACACCAGUGGCGAAGGCGGCUCACUGGACUGGUAUUGACGCUGAGGUGCGAAAGCGUGGGGAGCAAACAGGAUUAGAUACCCCCGUAGUCCCUGUCUCUUAUAU